CGCCGAACAUGGGUAAGGAGCAGCGAGGAACACACCCUGAAGCUCAUUAGGGCUGGAGAAAGAAGGGAAAGGCUCUCUCCCUGUUACACGCUGCCAUUGAAUCCAACCUCCAUAAUUACAGGUCUGGCUUUAAUAUGCCAUACAUCCGAGGAAAAGCCUCUUGCAACAAAGCCCAGUAAAGCCUGUGCCACUGGCAUCAGCUGCACAAUGGCAGGGAUAACAGAGCGGCCACGCCUGGAGAUUCUUCACAGAAGAAAGGAGAAAGGGAACGUUCACAACCAGCCAUGGCUUUAUCAGAGUGGAAGAAGAAAGAGCUGAGGAUUAUAGGAAUUUCGGUCCCGUGUCUCUCCCACUCCAAAACUAGGCUGUGUUUUCUCUGACAUUGGUGAAAUAAGAAAUACUGCAGGGAAAACUCUGACCACCCAACUGCCAAACGCGUUCAAAAGUCAGCCAUUACCAUUUCUCUGCCAAAGCGUUCAAAGCAGGAGGUAUCUGAGACCUGCCAGCGUGAUAAAGGGAUUCCCAAACCCAAAUAAACCCGCCUAGAACUAACCGUGCUGCCCACAGCAAAGCAGCCACAGCCAGCUAUCCUUCCCUUGCACCAGCACUUGUGGGGAACAGUUCAGACGGCUGAUCCACGUUAGAUGCAAAUUCCACCCAAAAAUAAAAAAAAGAAGAAGAAACACCAAGAAAAGAUGAGUUCUCCUGACCCAUCACACCACAGCCAAGCAGCUCCUGGGUAGGCAGCUGCUACCACCAGGUAACUCCACUCUCAUUAUUUUUAAUUAGCUUGAGUUUCAGCUCUGACAGUGAAAUUGUAACCUUACCCCUGUCACACGAUAACAAGUCUUCUGGCUCUCCCCACUGCUUCAGCCUACAUUAAAGCCAGGGCAGGUUAAUGAGAUGUGACUCAGGGAGCAUGGGACUCCUCCCUGAGCACUGGAGGUGAGAGCAGGACACGAGGUGAGAUAGGGAGGAGAAUGAGAGGCUGUUGUCAUUGGUGGGCCUAUUCAUAGAAUCAUACAAUCAUUAAGGUUGGAAAAGACCUCUAAGAUCAUCCAGUCCAACCAUCCACCUACCUCCAGAAUUGCUCACCAAACCACGUCCCUAAGUACUACACCAACCCUUUCCUUAAACACCCCCAGGGAUGGUGACUCCACCACUUCCUUGGGCAACCUGUUCCAAUGCCUAACAUCAUUUCUGAGAAGAAAUUCUUCUUAAUAUCCAAUCUGAACCUUCCAAGAGGUUAUUCCCAGACCUUACUUUUGCUGGCUCAUUAAACCCGGAGCUACAACAGAAGGGCUGGCUCUGUGGAGAGCUGCCUGCCCCCGUCACACAACACCUGGAUUCUAACCAAGUUCUCUGGGAAGCAAUGGAUCCUAAGGGCACCUUUGGUCAGUGGUUGACACAGAAGGUCCCCAGUUCCACAACAUAAGUAACAUAUUUUAUCAGCUUCUGCCAUGAGAUUACUAUGUAAAACGAUUUUUUUUCUUAAUAUUAGGGUACGGGCAAUAAAUAUAUAUAUAUUGCUAAAUAUAUCCAGGAUAAUAAUUCUUUUACAGUUACUGAAGUGAAUACACCACACAUACAUACCUUAUACACUACAACACCAAAGUGGAUACCAAGCAUAAAUACACAUACGGACUCUGUUGGUACCACUCCCGAUUUAAGCAGCAAAAAUGAAAGAGCCCAACAAGUAGAAGACAACUGAUCAGCUAUCAGCCCUGCAGAACACCGGCAGUUCUGGCAGGCCGUCUGAAAUCUCACAGCUUGGAAUAAAGCCUUGGUAACAAAAUGACUUUUCUUCUACUGGCAACUACUUGUAAAGUCUCGGAGCACCGGGCUGGACAGCAGUGAAUGUAAAUGUUUUAAACUCUGGGUCAUGACCGCCGUGUGAUAAUGCCAAUUUGGGAACAUUUAUG
Gallus gallus (chicken) is the source of this 1922-nucleotide long non-coding RNA. Lineage: Eukaryota; Metazoa; Chordata; Aves; Galliformes; Phasianidae. The record is from Ensembl.